UCCGGUGGCCGUAAGUGUCCCGCUGGUGUUUGCCGGAGAGCCAGCUUGCAGCCUUGCAGCCAGUGUGCCGGGUAGGCUGACCUUCUGCAUAACCUCUGCCUGCAUUUUUGUAUUGCUUGUGUUUUGCAGAUUCCGGCUUUGUAAUGGCUGGUGCAAACGAGUCGCAGUUUCAAGGGCUCUCUAAAUACUUCAACACUGUUACCAAAACGGGCCGCGCCAACAUUGCCAAGAGCACAUACUUAGUACUGGGAACCAUAGGUUUUCUUUUCUGGGCGAAGAAAAAGUCCAGUGGUGGAUCUGCGAAGUAGAUGCCUUAGGACAAGCCGCAAGAAAGGGUGCGGGACAUCGGGCCCCCUCGCUGCCACCGUUCACGCGAGCAUGCAUGUGAAACCAUUUGUGCAUUAAAU
Rhipicephalus sanguineus (brown dog tick) is the source of this 407-nucleotide long non-coding RNA. RefSeq lists it as uncharacterized. The record is from RefSeq and is a predicted model, not a curated record. The transcript is spliced from 3 exons. NCBI's taxonomy places the organism in Eukaryota, Metazoa, Arthropoda, Arachnida, Ixodida, Ixodidae.